This 662-nucleotide ribosomal RNA is filed under the name uncultured cyanobacterium. RNAcentral's name for it is "bacterial SSU rRNA". It matches the Rfam family "Bacterial small subunit ribosomal RNA", at positions 99 to 795 of the family's 1533-position model. The record is from RNAcentral. Lineage: Bacteria; Bacillati; Cyanobacteriota.
CGGACGGGUGAGUAACGCGUGAGGAUCUGCCCUUAGGAGGGGGACAACAGUUGGAAACGACUGCUAAUACCCCAUAUGUCUACGGAUGAAAGAUUUUAUCGCCUGAGGAUGAACUCGCGUCUGAUUAGCUAGUUGGUGAGGUAAGGGCUCACCAAGGCGACGAUCAGUAGCUGGUCUGAGAGGAUGAUCAGCCACACUGGGACUGAGACACGGCCCAGACUCCAACGGGAGGCAGCAGUGGGGAAUUUUCCGCAAUGGGGGCAACCCUGACGGAGCAAUACCGCGUGCGGGAGGACGGCCUGUGGGUUGUAAACCGCUUUUCUCAGGGAAGAAGACCUGACGGUACCUGAGGAAUCAGCAUCGGCUAACUCCGUGCCAGCAGCCGCGGUAAUACGGAGGAUGCAAGCGUUAUCCGGAAUUAUUGGGCGUAAAGCGUCCGUAGGUGGUUAAUCAAGUCUGCUGUUAAAGAGCGGAGCUUAACUCCGUUUAAGCGGUGGAAACUGGUUAACUAGAGAGUGGUAGGGGUAGAGGGAAUUCCCAGUGUAGCGGUGAAAUGCGUAGAUAUUGGGAAGAACACCGGUGGCGAAAGCGCUCUACUGGGCCACAUCUGACACUGAUGGACGAAAGCUAGGGGACUAAUGGGAUUAGAUACCCCAGUAGUC